Molecule: ribosomal RNA, 427 nt
Filed under: Coccomyxa dispar
Lineage: Eukaryota; Viridiplantae; Chlorophyta; Trebouxiophyceae; Coccomyxaceae
Description: SSU rRNA
Rfam family: Eukaryotic small subunit ribosomal RNA
Source: RNAcentral
UCGGAUAACCGUAGUAAUUCAAGAGCUAAUACGUGCGGAAAUCCACGACUUCUGGAAGGGACGUAUUUAUUAGAUAAAAGGCCGACCGGGCUUGCCCGAAUCGCGGUGAAUCAUGAUAACUCCACGAAUCGCAUGGCCUCAGCGCCGGCGAUGUUUCAUUCAAAUUUCUGCCCUAUCAACUUUCGACGGUAAGGUAUUGGCUUACCGUGGUGGUAACGGGUGACGGAGGAUUAGGGUUCGAUUCCGGAGAGGGAGCCUGAGAAACGGCUACCACAUCCAAGGAAGGCAGCAGGCGCGCAAAUUACCCAAUCUUGACACAAGGAGGUAGUGACAAUAAAUAACAAUACCGGGGUUUUUCAACUCUGGUAAUUGGAAUGAGUACAAUCUAAACCCCUUAACGAGGAUCAAUUGGAGGGCAAGUCUGGUG